AAUGCCUAGGAAUCUGCCCGAUAGUGGGGGACAACGUUUCGAAAGGAACGCUAAUACCGCAUACGUCCUACGGGAGAAAGUGGGGGAUCUUCGGACCUCACGCUAUCGGAUGAGCCUAGGUCGGAUUAGCUAGUUGGUGGGGUAAAGGCUCACCAAGGCGACGAUCCGUAACUGGUCUGAGAGGAUGAUCAGUCACACUGGAACUGAGACACGGUCCAGACUCCUACGGGAGGCAGCAGUGGGGAAUAUUGGACAAUGGGCGAAAGCCUGAUCCAGCCAUGCCGCGUGUGUGAAGAAGGUCUUCGGAUUGUAAAGCACUUUAAGUUGGGAGGAAGGGCAUUAACCUAAUACGUUAGUGUUUUGACGUUACCGACAGAAUAAGCACCGGCUAACUUCGUGCCAGCAGCCGCGGUAAUACGAAGGGUGCAAGCGUUAAUCGGAAUUACUGGGCGUAAAGCGCGCGUAGGUGGUUCAGCAAGUUGGAUGUGAAAGCCCCGGGCUCAACCUGGGAACUGCAUCCAAAACUACUGGGCUAGAGUACGGUAGAGGGUGGUGGAAUUUCCUGUGUAGCGGUGAAAUGCGUAGAUAUAGGAAGG
This 596-nucleotide ribosomal RNA is filed under the name uncultured bacterium. Its description in RNAcentral is "bacterial SSU rRNA". It matches the Rfam family "Bacterial small subunit ribosomal RNA", at positions 112 to 704 of the family's 1533-position model. The record is from RNAcentral.